CUAAAUCGUGACGGCGCACAAGAAAUCCCCAAUUUACUUAUAAAGGACAAGAAGUAACAGGGACAUAUAAACAGGACAGAAAAAAAUCAGAAAAAAAUUACACACAAUCUUCAAGUUGAGACUCUGGAGGUCACUUAUCUAAACUUCCAGGCAGGCUGGAAUCUUCAGACAUUUCUGAGAUCCACCCCCUCGAAUACUGUCAGAGCCCACCACAAUCUGACAAAGAGCAGAUGCUCAGUAAAUACUUGCUGCCUGAAAGAAUGAAAAAAAA
Non-coding RNA from Kogia breviceps (pygmy sperm whale), 271 nucleotides. The record is from RefSeq and is a predicted model, not a curated record. NCBI's taxonomy places the organism in Eukaryota, Metazoa, Chordata, Mammalia, Artiodactyla, Physeteridae.